GGUUAAGCGACUAAGCGUACACGGUGGAUGCCCUGGCAGUCAGAGGCGAUGAAGGACGUGCUAAUCUGCGAUAAGCGUCGGUAAGGUGAUAUGAACCGUUAUAACCGGCGAUUUCCGAAUGGGGAAACCCAGUGUGAUUCGUCACACUAUCAUUAACUGAAUCCAUAGGUUAAUGAGGCGAACCGGGGGAACUGAAACAUCUAAGUACCCCGAGGAAAAGAAAUCAACCGAGAUUCCCCCAGUAGCGGCGAGCGAACGGGGAGCAGCCCAGAGCCUGAAUCAGUGUGUGUGUUAGUGGAAGCGUCUGGAAAGGCGUGCGAUACAGGGUGACAGCCCCGUACACAAAAAUGCACAUAUUGUGAGCUCGAUGAGUAGGGCGGGACACGUGGUAUCCUGUCUGAAUAUGGGGGGACCAUCCUCCAAGGCUAAAUACUCCUGACUGACCGAUAGUGAACCAGUACCGUGAGGGAAAGGCGAAAAGAACCCCGGCGAGGGGAGUGAAAAAGAACCUGAAACCGUGUACGUACAAGCAGUGGGAGCACGCUUAGGCGUGUGACUGCGUACCUUUUGUAUAAUGGGUCAGCGACUUAUAUUCUGUAGCAAGGUUAACCGAAUAGGGGAGCCGAAGGGAAACCGAGUCUUAACUGGGCGUUAAGUUGCAGGGUAUAGACCCGAAACCCGGUGAUCUAGCCAUGGGCAGGUUGAAGGUUGGGUAACACUAACUGGAGGACCGAACCGACUAAUGUUGAAAAAUUAGCGGAUGACUUGUGGCUGGGGGUGAAAGGCCAAUCAAACCGGGAGAUAGCUGGUUCUCCCCGAAAGCUAUUUAGGUAGCGCCUCGUGAAUUCAUCUCCGGGGGUAGAGCACUGUUUCGGCAAGGGGGUCAUCCCGACUUACCAACCCGAUGCAAACUGCGAAUACCGGAGAAUGUUAUCACGGGAGACACACGGCGGGUGCUAACGUCCGUCGUGAAGAGGGAAACAACCCAGACCGCCAGCUAAGGUCCCAAAGUCAUGGUUAAGUGGGAAACGAUGUGGGAAGGCCCAGACAGCCAGGAUGUUGGCUUAGAAGCAGCCAUCAUUUAAAGAAAGCGUAAUAGCUCACUGGUCGAGUCGGCCUGCGCGGAAGAUGUAACGGGGCUAAACCAUGCACCGAAGCUGCGGCAGCGACGCUUAUGCGUUGUUGGGUAGGGGAGCGUUCUGUAAGCCUGCGAAGGUGUGCUGUGAGGCAUGCUGGAGGUAUCAGAAGUGCGAAUGCUGACAUAAGUAACGAUAAAGCGGGUGAAAAGCCCGCUCGCCGGAAGACCAAGGGUUCCUGUCCAACGUUAAUCGGGGCAGGGUGAGUCGACCCCUAAGGCGAGGCCGAAAGGCGUAGUCGAUGGGAAACAGGUUAAUAUUCCUGUACUUGGUGUUACUGCGAAGGGGGGACGGAGAAGGCUAUGUUGGCCGGGCGACGGUUGUCCCGGUUUAAGCGUGUAGGCUGGUUUUCCAGGCAAAUCCGGAAAAUCAAGGCUGAGGCGUGAUGACGAGGCACUACGGUGCUGAAGCAACAAAUGCCCUGCUUCCAGGAAAAGCCUCUAAGCAUCAGGUAACAUCAAAUCGUACCCCAAACCGACACAGGUGGUCAGGUAGAGAAUACCAAGGCGCUUGAGAGAACUCGGGUGAAGGAACUAGGCAAAAUGGUGCCGUAACUUCGGGAGAAGGCACGCUGAUAUGUAGGUGAAGUCCCUCGCGGAUGGAGCUGAAAUCAGUCGAAGAUACCAGCUGGCUGCAACUGUUUAUUAAAAACACAGCACUGUGCAAACACGAAAGUGGACGUAUACGGUGUGACGCCUGCCCGGUGCCGGAAGGUUAAUUGAUGGGGUUAGCGCAAGCGAAGCUCUUGAUCGAAGCCCCGGUAAACGGCGGCCGUAACUAUAACGGUCCUAAGGUAGCGAAAUUCCUUGUCGGGUAAGUUCCGACCUGCACGAAUGGCGUAAUGAUGGCCAGGCUGUCUCCACCCGAGACUCAGUGAAAUUGAACUCGCUGUGAAGAUGCAGUGUACCCGCGGCAAGACGGAAAGACCCCGUGAACCUUUACUAUAGCUUGACACUGAACAUUGAGCCUUGAUGUGUAGGAUAGGUGGGAGGCUUUGAAGUGUGGACGCCAGUCUGCAUGGAGCCGACCUUGAAAUACCACCCUUUAAUGUUUGAUGUUCUAACGUGGACCCGUAAUCCGGGUUGCGGACAGUGUCUGGUGGGUAGUUUGACUGGGGCGGUCUCCUCCUAAAGAGUAACGGAGGAGCACGAAGGUUGGCUAAUCCUGGUCGGACAUCAGGAGGUUAGUGCAAUGGCAUAAGCCAGCUUGACUGCGAGCGUGACGGCGCGAGCAGGUGCGAAAGCAGGUCAUAGUGAUCCGGUGGUUCUGAAUGGAAGGGCCAUCGCUCAACGGAUAAAAGGUACUCCGGGGAUAACAGGCUGAUACCGCCCAAGAGUUCAUAUCGACGGCGGUGUUUGGCACCUCGAUGUCGGCUCAUCACAUCCUGGGGCUGAAGUAGGUCCCAAGGGUAUGGCUGUUCGCCAUUUAAAGUGGUACGCGAGCUGGGUUUAGAACGUCGUGAGACAGUUCGGUCCCUAUCUGCCGUGGGCGCUGGAGAAUUGAGGGGGGCUGCUCCUAGUACGAGAGGACCGGAGUGGACGCAUCACUGGUGUUCGGGUUGUCAUGCCAAUGGCACUGCCCGGUAGCUAAAUGCGGAAGAGAUAAGUGCUGAAAGCAUCUAAGCACGAAACUUGCCCCGAGAUGAGUUCUCCCUGACUCCUUGAGAGUCCUGAAGGAACGUUGAAGACGACGACGUUGAUAGGCCGGGUGUGUAAGCGCAGCGAUGCGUUGAGCUAACCGGUACUAAUGAACCGUGAGGCUUAACCUU
Molecule: ribosomal RNA, 2904 nt
Filed under: Escherichia coli
Lineage: Bacteria; Pseudomonadati; Pseudomonadota; Gammaproteobacteria; Enterobacterales; Enterobacteriaceae
Also listed under: 1 other name
Description: 23S ribosomal RNA
Rfam family: Bacterial large subunit ribosomal RNA
Source: RNAcentral